Long non-coding RNA from Gordionus sp. m RMFG-2023, 773 nucleotides. RefSeq lists it as uncharacterized. The transcript is spliced from 4 exons. The record is from RefSeq and is a predicted model, not a curated record. NCBI's taxonomy places the organism in Eukaryota, Metazoa, Nematomorpha, Gordioida, Chordodea, Parachordodidae.
UCGACAUUGUUCGCAAAUAUUAAAAUUUAUUCAUAAAUAUUUAAAAUUAUUUACCAAAUUCCUGUGUACGCGCCUGCAUCUUAAUGUUUAAGAUUUAAGGAGACUAUAUUACCUCCUAAUGUUAAUUUUUUUGGAAACAACCAGAUUCGAAUCCGGGAUACUCCAUAUCAAAAGCGAAUGCUUUGCGGCUGCGCUAUUAUGCGUAUGAACCUGAGAUACUUAUUAUCAAAAGUGAAUGCUAUGCGCUACUACAAUUUAUAUCGGAAAUGUAGAGAAAUCAUUGUCUCUUCCUGUCUUUUUUAAUCAUCUCAUCGACACCAAUGAUUAAGAUAGCAGAUAACUUUGAAGUGAUUAAAGAUGCUCUAAUAGCAGAUAUGUACCACGGCAGAUAUUUGGACACAUAACAGAAGAGCAUAUUUGGGAAUUACAGGCCAUUGACAUGACCCUAAAACUUUAAAAAGAGAUGCCAGACAUACGAUGUACUUGCAAAUAAAAUUUAUGAUUCACCCCAAUUUUAAAUUAAACUGGCCACAUAUCCAUUACGAUGAUGCUAAUGAUCAACGUGAUAAGCUCAUGGUAAAGCUAUAGUCUCAUACUAAACAAAGAUGCCCUAGUUACAACCACCGACUUUCACUGAUAAUUUUUUUGAAAUAGAAAAUCCUCUAGACGCGUAAAAAUAGGUAUAUAAAAUUAAAUAGCCUUGCCCUCAAGUGCUAGUGUCGAGAGCAUAUUUAGAGGAAAUUUACACUUUCUGAUAGUCUAGACUUGGGAAU